GUUGAGAUGGCCCAGUUGGUCUAAGGCGCCAGAUUAAGGUUCUAAUCCGAAAGGGCGUGGGUUCAAAUCCCACUCUCGACA
Molecule: transfer RNA, 81 nt
Filed under: Helianthus annuus (common sunflower)
Lineage: Eukaryota; Viridiplantae; Streptophyta; Magnoliopsida; Asterales; Asteraceae
Rfam family: tRNA
About the family: Transfer RNA (tRNA) molecules are approximately 80 nucleotides in length. Their secondary structure includes four short double-helical elements and three loops (D, anti-codon, and T loops).
Source: Rfam by way of RNAcentral